This 99-nucleotide transfer RNA is filed under the name Catellatospora sp. IY07-71. RNAcentral's name for it is "tRNA-Thr". The record is from RNAcentral. Lineage: Bacteria; Bacillati; Actinomycetota; Actinomycetes; Micromonosporales; Micromonosporaceae.
GUCGCGGUGGGCAUCGCGGCCCUGCUGCUGUGCGCGCUGGUGCCGCGUACCGCCGUCUCGCUGGGCUGCGGCGCGCUGUUCGGCGCGGUGGCCGGGGCG